GAUGAACGCUAGCGGCAGGCUUAACACAUGCAAGUCGAGGGGUAGGUUACUUCGGUAACUGAGACCGGCGCACGGGUGCGUAACGCGUAUACAAUCUACCUUUUACAGAGGGAUAGCCCAGAGAAAUUUGGAUUAAAUACCUCAUAGUAUUUUCGGAUCGCAUGAUUUGAUUAUUAAAGUUCCAACGGUAAAAGAUGAGUAUGCGUCCCAUUAGCUAGAUGGUAAGGUAACGGCUUACCAAGGCAACGAUGGGUAGGGGUCCUGAGAGGGAGAUCCCCCACACUGGUACUGAGACAGGACCAGACUCCUACGGGAGGCAGCAGUGAGGAAUAUUGGA
RNAcentral lists this ribosomal RNA (337 nucleotides) under uncultured bacterium. RNAcentral describes it as "bacterial SSU rRNA". It matches the Rfam family "Bacterial small subunit ribosomal RNA", at positions 28 to 368 of the family's 1533-position model. The record is from RNAcentral.